This 767-nucleotide ribosomal RNA is filed under the name Bacillus sp. (in: firmicutes). RNAcentral's name for it is "bacterial SSU rRNA". It matches the Rfam family "Bacterial small subunit ribosomal RNA", at positions 193 to 942 of the family's 1533-position model. Lineage: Bacteria; Bacillati; Bacillota; Bacilli; Caryophanales; Bacillaceae. The record is from RNAcentral.
AGAAAGGAUAAAAGACGGCUUCUGCUGUCACUUACAGAUGGGCCCGCGGCGCAUUAGCUAGUUGGGGGGGUAACGGCCUACCAGGGCAACGAUGCGUACCCGACCUGAGAGGGUGAUCGGCCACACUGGGACUGAAACACGGCCCAAACUCCUACGGGAGGCAGCAGUAGGGAAUCUUCCGCAAUGGACGCAAGUCUGACGGAGCAACGCCGCGGGAGUGAUGAAGGUCUUCGGAUCGUAAAACUCUGUUAUCAGGAAAAAACCCGUACCGGAGAAACUGCCGGGGCGUUGACGGUACCUGACCAAAAAGCCACGGUUAACUACGGGCCACCACCCGCGGAAAUACGUAGGUGGCAAGCGUUGUCCGAAAUUAUUGGGCGUAAAGCGCGCGCAGGCGGUUUCUUAAGUCUGAUGUGAAAGCCCACGGUUCAACCGUGAAGGGUCAUUGAAAACUGGGAGGCUUGAGUGCAAAAAAGAAGAGCGAAAUCCCACGUGUAGCGGUGAAUGGCGUAAAGAUGUGAAGGAACACCAGUGCCAAAGGCGCCUCCUCUGGCCUGUAACUGACGCUGAGGCGCGAAAAGCGUGGGUAGCGAACAGAGAUUAGAUACCCUGGUAGUCCACGCCGUAUAACGAUGAGUGCUAAGUGUUAGGGGGUUUCCGCCCCUUAGUGCUGCAGCAAACGCAUUAAGCACUCCGCCUGGGGAGUACGGCCGCAAGGCUGAAACUCAAAGGAAUUGACGGGGGCCCGCACAAGCGGUGGAGCAUGU